GCCAGGAUGGCUCAGUGGUUGAGCGUGGACAUAUGAACUAGGAGGUCCAGGUUCGAUUCCUGGUCAGGGCA
Molecule: transfer RNA, 71 nt
Filed under: Myotis davidii
Lineage: Eukaryota; Metazoa; Chordata; Mammalia; Chiroptera; Vespertilionidae
Rfam family: tRNA
About the family: Transfer RNA (tRNA) molecules are approximately 80 nucleotides in length. Their secondary structure includes four short double-helical elements and three loops (D, anti-codon, and T loops). Further hydrogen bonds mediate the characteristic L-shaped molecular structure. tRNAs have two regions of fundamental functional importance: the anti-codon, which is responsible for specific mRNA codon recognition, and the 3' end, to which the tRNAs corresponding amino acid is attached (by aminoacyl-tRNA synthetases). tRNAs cope with the degeneracy of the genetic code in two manners: having more than one tRNA (with a specific anti-codon) for a particular amino acid; and 'wobble' base-pairing, i.e. permitting non-standard base-pairing at the 3rd anti-codon position.
Source: Rfam by way of RNAcentral